AAUAUCUCCAAAAGACUCUUGUUGGACUCUUUCUAAAACCCCGUGAAACGGGUUUUGAAUGUCAGCUAGCUUUAAGAUUAAAUAUUAAAAUUCUUGGUUUUCGGUCAGAAUGGUCUCACGUCACGCUUGUUACCCCGACUAGCUAGCUAGCUAACUAUUGAAUUGUAUUCAAAACAGCGGUUAGGCUACUAUAAACGCAAUCGUUCACAAACAUAUGGAUGAAAAUGCGUCCCGUAGCCAGGAGUUAAAUGCGGAACGCCUAUUCUACUGUCCAAAUAAGGGACGAUUCCGAUUUGCGGGGUGGUUGGCAACCGUAAAUAAAGCUAGCAACAGUAACUAGAAAUGUCAUUCAAUGUUGCCAUCAAUUGUGAAAAUGGACAUUGAAAAGGGGAGGGGAUGUAACAACAAUUCAAAAGAGAAAGAAUACUGUUGGUGUUUAUAUGUUGUUUUUGAAUGCUGGAUUUUGUAACGCAUUGAUUUUAGAACUGUUAGAAGGCCGAGGUGUCCCUUUACUGAGAAAUAAUGCCCACCCUUGGACCAAUCAGAAUCGAGUAUUCAGCCAAGCCAUUGUACAAGAUACAAAUAAGUGCUUUGUUAAAUGCACCUGUGUGAGACACUUUGUUGUCUAUUGUAGUCUCUAAACCAGUAGACCAGUAGACCAGUUUGCUGCUGGCGGUGAAGAAGAGGCAGUACCAAGUGCCAGCCAUGAGCCCAUAACUCCAGAGUGGGCAGUGUCAGAGGCAGUGCCAGGACCCAGUAAUGUGCCCAGAAAGAUCCCUGCUGUGGAAGGCACAGGUAGAACUGUUCCUCAUAGGCCGACUGAAGGAAGUGUAAAAGAGAGAGCAGAGUCUGCUCAGGGACUGAUCACUGAGGCAACAACAGCUCAGCAGCAGCCCCCUGAGCCACAAGCUAAGAAAAAGACACAUGAAGAUGAGGCUGUUGAUUGUUUUGAUUACUUUGCUCACCCUCAGUCACAGGACAUAGAUAUGUUUUUUUGUUAUCAUCCUCAACAAACACCAGAAUUUCCUAUACCAAAAGUUUUCAACAGCAAAGAUGGAACCAACCGCAAGUGGUUGACUUACUGUGAAAAAAACCAAUCUCUGUACUGUACUGUCUGUUUGGCAUUUGCACCUUUGGUUAGUGCUAAUCAGGUCCCUAUAGUCAGGGUGCGUCAUGUUUUUCAUCCUGAGGAGAGGAGGAGAGGUCUAAAAUUAAAAAUUAAAAAAAUCUCCAAAACACUGUUGUUGGAAUAUUACAACGUGUGAAGCUGUACGAUUCCCAGUCUUUGCAGAAUCUUAAGAUGUGUGCACCUCUAGGAGUGAAAACCAGUGAAUUGUACAGAUUGUUGUUAAAUGUGAGUGAGUGUGUCAGACUUUAGUCAUCUUAAAGUCACCUAGUGUAUGGGAGGCAUGAUCUACAAGUUUUUGGACUGCGGGCGAGAAGCUGGAGCACCCAGAGGAAGCCCACAUGGACCCGAGGAGAACAUGCAGGCUCCACACGGACACGGCUGGGAUUUGGACCUGGGACCUUCAUGAUGAAGGGUUACUGUGCUAUCCGCUGCCCCACCACGCCCGAGGUUCCAUCUGGUCUGGAGUCAAUGACGCUGUCCUCCUCCCAAAAUUACGCACUGCAGACACUCAGACACUUUGAUUCAUGAUGACUGGCUGUUGUAGAUUAACUUGAUUUUAUUUUCCUUCAUUCAGAAUGCCCACUAUAUUCAGUGAAGGUAUUGGGACACAGGAGAUUGAUCUGGAAAAGAGGAUCUGAAAGCAGCCCCAGUUCUUAUCAGGGCAGACUACAGCACCCAGGAUCAGGAAGAAUGGAGAGAACCAGGGGAGAGAGGAGAGAGCCAGCUGCUUUAGAUCUGGAGCCAUUUUCAUUAAAUAUUAAAUAUUUUGGGAGAUACCAGAGGAGAGACCCGCCUGCGUUAAAUCCAAGGUUGUUUCCAUCAAAGGUUCGAGGUUUCUUUAUUCGUAUCCUAUUCGAGCACCCAGAGGAAGCCCACGUGGACCCGAGGAGAACAUGCAGGCUCCACACGGAAAGGCUCCGGCUGGGAUUCAGACCUGGGACCUUUGUGACGCCCCACUGCCCCGCCACAUCUGACAUUCCAUUUGGUCUGGAGUCAAUGACGCUGUCCUCCUCCCAAAAUUACACACCGCAAAGGAUGAAGCCUGAACACAUGCUGGAGUACAGGUCUGAAAAUAAAACUGAACACUUUCACUUUUUGGCUAGCUCCAGAUUUCUGAAUCCCUGAAAUUUGUUGUUCGUUCAAAACAAAGAUCUAAGGAAAGUGUGCUUCCAUUGCGAUGUACAACGCAUGCGCUCACAAGGGAAGCUUCGAGAACAGGGGAAGGUUUGAGAAACAUGCAUGGGAGUGUCAACGCAUGCGCUCACCCACAAGCACACACACGAGGCACGGCCAUUUUGUACCCGAACGCGUGCCACACAUUUGCAAUGGUGAACAAAAACAUGCUCGUUUGGGGAUUUCUCCUGGUGAUUCAUUUUCAGAGCAUCGAAGCAACACCUGAGAUCUGUAAAAAGGAAUGGCUGUGUGAUGCUCCUGAAUGUUUUGAAAUAAUGGGGUCUCCAGAACCAGCUUGCACCUCCACCAGUCACACACAUCUCUGCAGAUUUAACGAAAGUUGCAUUGAGUAUAAAUGCAAGGCAGCUUUAACCUGCCAAUGCGAAGGAAGUCCAGUUAAAUUGGCAGACUUAACCAAAUGCCCUGGAAAACAUGUAGAAAGUUUCAGCGGGACCUCGUGGAAGACUGGUGUCGCUGUCGCUGUCGCUGUCGCUAUCGCUGUCGCUGUUGCCAUUUUAAUCAUAUGCCGUAUCAGGAAAAAAAGAGGCAGCCUGUGUUCUGGAUGCAGAAGGAAGGACACUGAGAGGG
This is an RNA transcript of Anguilla rostrata (American eel), 2890 nucleotides long. RefSeq lists it as uncharacterized. The record is from RefSeq and is a predicted model, not a curated record. NCBI's taxonomy places the organism in Eukaryota, Metazoa, Chordata, Actinopteri, Anguilliformes, Anguillidae. The transcript is spliced from 8 exons.